This 738-nucleotide ribosomal RNA is filed under the name uncultured Atopobium sp. RNAcentral's name for it is "bacterial SSU rRNA". It matches the Rfam family "Bacterial small subunit ribosomal RNA", at positions 28 to 776 of the family's 1533-position model. The record is from RNAcentral. Lineage: Bacteria; Bacillati; Actinomycetota; Coriobacteriia; Coriobacteriales; Atopobiaceae.
GAUGAACGCUGGCGGCGCGCCUAACACAUGCAAGUCGAACGGUUAAAAACACCUUUUAGGUGUGUAUAAAGUGGCGAACGGCUGAGUAACACGUGGGCAACCUGCCCUCCUCUUGGGGAUAGCCUCGGGAAACCGAGGAUAAUACCCGAUACUUCAAUGUGGCCGCAUGACGACAUUGAGAAAGCUUUUGCGGAGAAGGAUGGGCCCGCGGCCUGUUAGCUUGUUGGUGGGGUAGAGGCCUACCAAGGCAAUGAUGGGUAGCUGGGUUGAGAGACCGACCAGCCAGAUUGGGACUGAGACACGGCCCAGACUCCUACGGGAGGCAGCAGUGGGGAAUCUUGCACAAUGGGCGAAAGCCUGAUGCAGCGACGCCGCGUGCGGGACGAAGGCCUUCGGGUCGUAAACCGCUUUCAGCAGGGACGAGGCGAUAAGUGACGGUACCUGCAGAAGAAGCCCCGGCUAACUACGUGCCAGCAGCCGCGGUAAUACGUAGGGGGCAAGCGUUAUCCGGAUUCAUUGGGCGUAAAGCGCUCGUAGGCGGUCUGUUAGGUCGGGAGUUAAAUCCGGAGGCUCAACCUCCGCCCGCUCCCGAUACCGGCAGACUUGAGUUUGGUAGGGGAAGGUGGAAUUCCUAGUGUAGCGGUGGAAUGCGCAGAUAUUAGGAAGAACACCAGUGGCGAAGGCGGCCUUCUGGGCCAUAACUGACGCUGAGGAGCGAAAGCUAGGGGAGCAAACAGG